Molecule: ribosomal RNA, 365 nt
Filed under: uncultured organism
Description: bacterial SSU rRNA
Rfam family: Bacterial small subunit ribosomal RNA
Source: RNAcentral
CGGAGGAUCCAAGCGUUAUCCGGAAUCAUUGGGUUUAAAGGGUCCGUAGGCGGUUUUAUAAGUCAGUGGUGAAAUCUGGUCGCUCAACGAUCAAACGGCCAUUGAUACUGUAGAACUUGAAUUACUUGGAAGUAACUAGAAUAUGUAGUGUAGCGGUGAAAUGCUUAGAGAUUACAUGGAAUACCAAUUGCGAAGGCAGGUUACUACAAGUGGAUUGACGCUGAUGGACGAAAGCGUGGGGAGCGAACAGGAUUAGAUACCCUGGUAGUCCACGCCGUAAACGAUGGAUACUAGCUGUUCGGAGCAAUCUGAGUGGCUAAGCGAAAGUGAUAAGUAUCCCACCUGGGGAUACGAACGCAAGUUUG